Molecule: ribosomal RNA, 928 nt
Filed under: uncultured marine bacterium
Lineage: Bacteria
Description: bacterial SSU rRNA
Rfam family: Bacterial small subunit ribosomal RNA
Source: RNAcentral
AGAGUUUGAUCCUGGCUCAGAUUGAACGCUGGCGGCAGGCCUAACACAUGCAAGUCGAGCGGAAACGAGUUAACUGAACCUUCGGGGAACGUUAACGGCGUCGAGCGGCGGACGGGUGAGUAAUGCCUGGGAAGUUGCCUGAUGUGGGGGAUAACCAUUGGAAACGAUGGCUAAUACCGCAUAAUAGCUUCGGCUCAAAGAGGGGGACCUUCGGGCCUCUCGCGUCAGGAUAUGCCCAGGUGGGAUUAGCUAGUUGGUGAGGUAAUGGCUCACCAAGGCGACGAUCCCUAGCUGGUCUGAGAGGAUGAUCAGCCACACUGGAACUGAGACACGGUCCAGACUCCUACGGGAGGCAGCAGUGGGGAAUAUUGCACAAUGGGCGCAAGCCUGAUGCAGCCAUGCCGCGUGUAUGAAGAAGGCCUUCGGGUUGUAAAGUACUUUCAGCAGUGAGGAAGGUGGGUAUGUUAAUAGCAUAUUCAUUUGACGUUAGCUGCAGAAGAAGCACCGGCUAACUCCGUGCCAGCAGCCGCGGUAAUACGGAGGGUGCGAGCGUUAAUCGGAAUUACUGGGCGUAAAGCGCAUGCAGGUGGUUUGUUAAGUCAGAUGUGAAAGCCCGGGGCUCAACCUCGGAAUUGCAUUUGAAACUGGCAAACUAGAGUACUGUAGAGGGGGGUAGAAUUUCAGGUGUAGCGGUGAAAUGCGUAGAGAUCUGAAGGAAUACCGGUGGCGAAGGCGGCCCCCUGGACAGAUACUGACACUCAGAUGCGAAAGCGUGGGGAGCAAACAGGAUUAGAUACCCUGGUAGUCCACGCCGUAAACGAUGUCUACUUGGAGGUUGUGGCCUUGAGCCGUGGCUUUCGGAGCUAACGCGUUAAGUAGACCGCCUGGGGAGUACGGUCGCAAGAUUAAAACUCAAAGGAAUUGACGG